GGAGAGAUGGCCGAGUGGUUUAAGGCGCUAGUCUUGAAAACUAGUGAUGCGAAAGCACCGUGGGUUCAAAUCCUACUCUCUCCGCCA
This 87-nucleotide transfer RNA is filed under the name Clostridiales bacterium. RNAcentral describes it as "tRNA-Ser". It matches the Rfam family "tRNA". Rfam says of the family: Transfer RNA (tRNA) molecules are approximately 80 nucleotides in length. Their secondary structure includes four short double-helical elements and three loops (D, anti-codon, and T loops). The record is from RNAcentral. Lineage: Bacteria; Bacillati; Bacillota; Clostridia; Eubacteriales.